UACGGGGGGAGCAAGCGUUGUUCGGAUUUACUGGGCGUAAAGGGCGCGUAGGCGGCGUGACAAGUCACUUGUGAAAUCUCCGGGCUUAACCCGGAGCGGCCAAGUGAUACUGUCGUGCUAGAGUGCGGAAGGGGCUACUGGAAUUCUCGGUGUAGCGGUGAAAUGCGUAGAUAUCAGGAGGAACACCAAUUGCGAAGGCAGCUCGCUGGGACGUUACUGACGCUGAGACGCGAAAGCGUGGGGAGCAAACAGG
This 253-nucleotide ribosomal RNA is filed under the name uncultured bacterium. RNAcentral's name for it is "partial 16S ribosomal RNA". It matches the Rfam family "Bacterial small subunit ribosomal RNA", at positions 524 to 776 of the family's 1533-position model. The record is from RNAcentral.